GCUCGUAGUUGGAUUUUGGGUGCGGCAGGCCGGGUCCGCCGCUUCGGUGUGCACUGGCAGGCGGCAUCUUUCUGCCGGGGACGCGCUCCUGGUCUUAAUCUGAUCGGGACGCGGAGUCGGGCGCAGUUACUUUGAAAAAAUUAGAGUGUUCAAAGCGGGCCUACGCUUGAAUAUAUUAGCAUGGAAUAACACCAUAGGACUCCUGUCCUAUUCUGUUGGUCUUCGGGAUGGGAGUAAUGAUUAAGAGGAACAGUUGGGGGCAUUCGUAUUUCAUUGUCAGAGGUGAAAUUCUUGGAUUUAUGAAAGACGAACUUCUGCGAAAGCUUUUGCCAAGGAUGUUUUCAUUAAUCAAGAACGAAAGUUGGGGGCUCGAAGAUGAUUUAGAUACCCAUCCUAGUCUCAACCCAUAAACGAUGCCCGACUCAGGGAUUGGCGGGAUGUUUAAUUUUGAUGACUUUCGCCCAGCACUGUAUGAGAAAAUCAAAGUCUUUUGGGGUUCCCGGGGGGGAGUAUGGGUCGCAAAGGCUGAAAACUUUAAAAGAAUUUGACGGGAGGGGCACCACCCAGGAAGUGGAGGCCUGCGGCUUAAUUUGACUCAACCACGGGGAAACUUACCCAGGUCCAGACAUUAGUAAGGAUUGGACCAGAUUGAGAGCUCUUUCCUUGAUUUCUUAUGGGGUGGUGGUGCAUGGCCGUUCUUUAGUUGGUGGAGUGAUUUGUCUGGGCUAAUCCCGUUAACGAACGAGACCUCAGCCUGCUAACUAGUCACGGUCUUUCUGAAAGGCUGGCGGACUUCUUAGAGGGACUAUUGGCGAUUAGCCAAUGGAAGAUUGAGGCAAUAACAGGUCUGUGAUGCCCUUAGAUGAUCU
Molecule: ribosomal RNA, 869 nt
Filed under: uncultured eukaryote
Lineage: Eukaryota
Description: bacterial SSU rRNA
Rfam family: Eukaryotic small subunit ribosomal RNA
Source: RNAcentral